This 140-nucleotide unclassified non-coding RNA is filed under the name soil metagenome. RNAcentral's name for it is "partial internal transcribed spacer 1". The record is from RNAcentral.
UCAAAACAGCGGACUUCGGUCCUUGCUGCACCCUUGUCUUUUGCGCACCGUAUUGUUUCCUCGGCGGGCUUGCCUGCCGGUUGGACAUUAUCAAAACCUUUUUGCAGCUGCAAUCAGCGUCAGAAAAACAAUAAUUAUUA